UCCCAGGUGGCUCAGUGGUAAAGAAUCUGCCUACCAAAGCAGGAGACAUGGGUUCAAUCCCUGUGUUGGGAA
This 72-nucleotide transfer RNA is filed under the name Capra hircus (goat). It matches the Rfam family "tRNA". Rfam says of the family: Transfer RNA (tRNA) molecules are approximately 80 nucleotides in length. Their secondary structure includes four short double-helical elements and three loops (D, anti-codon, and T loops). RNAcentral also lists the same sequence under 1 other name. The record is from Rfam by way of RNAcentral. Lineage: Eukaryota; Metazoa; Chordata; Mammalia; Artiodactyla; Bovidae.